GAGUUUGAUCGUGGCUCAGAUUGAACGCUGGCGGCAUGCCUUACACAUGCAAGUCGAACGGCAGCACGGGAGCUUGCUCCUGGUGGCGAGUGGCGAACGGGUGAGUAAUGCAUCGGAACGUAUCCUGGAGUGGGGGAUAACGUAGCGAAAGUUACGCUAAUACCGCAUAUUCUGUGAGCAGGAAAGCGGGGGACCUUCGGGCCUCGCGCUCUUGGAGCGGCCGAUGUCGGAUUAGCUAGUUGGUGAGGUAAAGGACUCACCAAGGCGACGAUCCGUAGCAGGUCUGAGAGGAUGAUCUGCCACACUGGAACUGAGACACGGUCCAGACUCCUACGGGAGGCAGCAGUGGGGAAGUUUUGGACGAAUGGGGGCGAACCCUGAUCCAGCCAUGCCGCGUGAGUGAAGAAGGCCUCGG
RNAcentral lists this ribosomal RNA (415 nucleotides) under bacterium enrichment culture clone ALO1_GLFRUDD03FSW4B. RNAcentral describes it as "bacterial SSU rRNA". It matches the Rfam family "Bacterial small subunit ribosomal RNA", at positions 9 to 420 of the family's 1533-position model. The record is from RNAcentral.